Molecule: non-coding RNA, 29 nt
Filed under: Mus musculus (house mouse)
Lineage: Eukaryota; Metazoa; Chordata; Mammalia; Rodentia; Muridae
Source: RNAcentral
UGUAAUGGACUAUAUAAAGUGCCAAUGGU